UAUGCAUUGGGAAUCGUGACUCUUUUUCCAUAUCGGAUCAAGACAGUACAGUGAAACAUAUCAGUUGUCUCCC
Pangasianodon gigas (Mekong giant catfish) is the source of this 73-nucleotide non-coding RNA. NCBI's taxonomy places the organism in Eukaryota, Metazoa, Chordata, Actinopteri, Siluriformes, Pangasiidae. The record is from the annotation of a GenBank genome assembly.